This is a regulatory RNA element of Paludibacter propionicigenes WB4, 72 nucleotides long. It matches the Rfam family "DUF805 RNA". Lineage: Bacteria; Pseudomonadati; Bacteroidota; Bacteroidia; Bacteroidales; Paludibacteraceae. The record is from Rfam.
AACAGGUGGAGAACAGGUACCACCAUUAAAAAAAUGUGGCGAAUUCCGAAAAGCCAUACGAGUAGGAAAUUU